CAAGCGCAGCAGACGGAUACCAGGCAAAUCCGGUAUCGGAAGGCAGGGCGUGAAGGGUAAGCGAAAUCGAAAGAGAGUAGCGAAGCGCUAAGGACGGCUUCCAAGAAAAGCUUCUAGCAAAGAGGUAUCGAGCGGCCCGUACCAAAACCGACACAGGUGGGCAGGCUGAGUAGGCCAAGGUGAGCGAGAGAACUGUUGCCAAGGAACUCGGCAAAAUGGCCCCGUAAGUUCGCGAGAAGGGGCGCUCUCGAGAGAGAGCCGCAGUGAAAAGGCCCAAGCGACUGUUUAACUAAAACACAGCUCUCUGCGAAGCCGCAAGGCGAAGUAUAGGGGGUGACACCUGCCCGGUGCUGGAAGGUUAAGGGGAUCUGUGAAUCGAAAGAUGAAGCAGUGGUCCGAAGCCCCAGUGAACGGCGGCCGUAACUAUAACGGUCCUAAGGUAGCGAAAUUCCUUGUCAGGUAAGUUCUGACCCGCACGAAAGGUGUAACGAUUUGGGCGCUGUCUCGGCAGCAGACUCGGUGAAAUCUUAGUACCUGUGAAAAUGCAGGUUACCCGCAACUAGACGGAAAGACCCCAUGGAGCUUUACUGCAGCUUGGCAUUGGGUUCUGAACGAACAUGUACAGGAUAGGUGGGAGACGAAGAGAGGAGCACGCCAGUGCGUCUUGAGUCGAUGUUGGGAUACCACCCUUGAGCGUUUGGAGCCCUAACCUGGGUCCUGGAACAGGAUCGGGGAGAGUGCCAGGCGGGCAGUUUGACUGGGGCGGUC
RNAcentral lists this ribosomal RNA (768 nucleotides) under Erysipelotrichaceae bacterium. RNAcentral's name for it is "partial 23S ribosomal RNA". It matches the Rfam family "Bacterial large subunit ribosomal RNA", at positions 1513 to 2284 of the family's 2925-position model. The record is from RNAcentral. Lineage: Bacteria; Bacillati; Bacillota; Erysipelotrichia; Erysipelotrichales; Erysipelotrichaceae.